Molecule: non-coding RNA, 510 nt
Organism: Penaeus vannamei (Pacific white shrimp)
Lineage: Eukaryota; Metazoa; Arthropoda; Malacostraca; Decapoda; Penaeidae
Source: RefSeq, a predicted model, not a curated record
GUAAACAUUGUUGCUCGCGUUCCUGGGAGCUUGAAGAAAUUUACGAGAUUCAACAUUUCUACGGAAUUGUGAGCAUCACCUGUACAAUGUAACUGUGCAGUACAGUACUAUAAACAAUCGUUUUAAAACGCAAUAUCUUUCGCAGACAACUGAAAGCGAGCAUUGGAAGUUCGGAACCAUCAACGCACAUGGUUGCUGAGAGUCAACAGCUGUCUCCUGAGCAUCUAUCUACCAUUUCGUGUGGCGAAGACUGGCUUCACCGCCGGACAGACAUCUUUGGAGUUUUAUGAAGGAGUCAACAACAUUGUGACUUGACUACAUUAGUUUUCAAACUCCAAUCAGUGGCACUCUUCAGUGAGGACGAGAUGGCGAUAAUUGACAGCAUUGAAAUGACCAAGUCUCCCACUCCCAUGCUGGUGACAAAUAACACCUUCCAAGAUGUCAUGACCACAAGAGAAAUAGCACACAAGUGCCAGCAUCUGCCUGCGAACUUGCAAAAUUUACUUUUAA